Molecule: ribosomal RNA, 465 nt
Filed under: Triticum aestivum (bread wheat)
Lineage: Eukaryota; Viridiplantae; Streptophyta; Magnoliopsida; Poales; Poaceae
Description: partial small subunit ribosomal RNA
Source: RNAcentral
AUGAAAUGUGUCCAGUCAACUAGAACAGUUCUGAAUGAACUUAGAGAAAAUGGAUGGGACACUUUGGUAGGUGAAGUUCAUGUGUUUUGUGAGAAACAUGAUAUUAUAGAGUUUGACAUGGAAGAAGCAUAUGUGAAUCCAAAAAAGAGAAGGCAGAUAACUGGAAUUACCAACAAACAUCACUAUCAAGUUUAUUGCUUCAACGAUGUUUUUGAUUGGCUAGUUCAAGAGCUUGACAAUAGGUUCAGUGAGACAUCCUCUAACUUGCUUGUUUGGUCAGCAGCUUUGAGUCCAAGAGACUCGUUUCGUUUCAAUUUGGAGAAUCUUAUGAGUUUGGCUAACUUAUACCCUCAGGAUUUUGAUUCCGGGGAUUUGAGGGAUCUUGGUAAGGAUCUACGGCUCUAUAUUGCUGAUGUGCGCACAGAUGAUAGCUUUUCCAACAUAGCAACAAUCACCGAGCUUUAA